UACGUAGGGUGCAAGCGUUGUCCGGAAUUAUUGGGCGUAAAGAGCUCGUAGGCGGUUUGUCACGUCGGCCGUGAAAACUCGGGGCUCAACCCCGAGCCUGCGGUCGAUACGGGCAGACUAGAGUGCUGUAGGGGAGACUGGAAUUCCUGGUGUAGCGGUGAAAUGCGCAGAUAUCAGGAGGAACACCAGUGGCGAAGGCGGCUCACUGGCCCGAUACUGACGCUGAGGCACGAAAGCGUGGGGAGCAAACAGG
Molecule: ribosomal RNA, 253 nt
Filed under: uncultured bacterium
Lineage: Bacteria
Description: partial 16S ribosomal RNA
Rfam family: Bacterial small subunit ribosomal RNA
Source: RNAcentral